RNAcentral lists this long non-coding RNA (1375 nucleotides) under Nicotiana benthamiana. RNAcentral describes it as "long non-coding RNA (NBEN_LNC006722)". The record is from RNAcentral. Lineage: Eukaryota; Viridiplantae; Streptophyta; Magnoliopsida; Solanales; Solanaceae.
AAGGGUGCAUUCCUCCUUCAACACAAAAGUAACGAGGAGAUCCCCUGGAAAAAAUCAGAGGAAAACCCAAAAAUUCCCCCACCCCACGGCUCCUCUCUCAUCCCUUCACUCCUUAUUUUCUUCCUUAAUAGUUUUGGUAAAAAAUAAAAUUGGAACUCCCAUAGAUGAACUCUGUUUCCCAAAUAACCUUUUCCUUUGCGAGAAAGUAGCCAAAUUGAUAUAAUCACUAUAACCACGAAAUUUCACUUUUGUUUCUUGAAAGGUUAGUGUAUUUGCAAAGAUUUUCUAGCUCUAGAUCCGUAGAACUCUUUGUCUGAAUCCAGCAAUCAGGGACUCCACCCCCACCCUUUUCACAAGAGAAAACGAGCAAUAUCACUCUCCCUUUCACAGAAGAUAAUUCGAGCAGCAUCCCUAUCCUUCACCAAAAAAUCGAUCCAUAUAAGCUCGGCUUUGUGAUUGUUUGUUGCUGCUUCUACCGAAAAAUGCUCUGAUGGGUUUCAUUUUGAAAGAUUCGGCUGUAUUUUAAUUUUCGGGCGACGUUGUCCCAGUGGGUUUGGCAGUUGCUGCUGAGUCUUGCCCUGUUCACAACCAUUUAGAAGCUUUCCUUGCUUUAAUACUUAUGUCUUUUACCAUUAAUUUUAUUUUGUUUGACUUGCUGACGAGUAUUUGUUGGACGUCAAUGUUGCUAAUUAAAAAUUGAUUUGGAUAUGGAAUUUCAAUUGAUUAUAAGAAUUCAUUUGUUUGCUUAAGGAUUUACGCCCCUGGUUGGCACUUAAUUUGAUAGUUAAAUGUUGCUGAUUAAAUAUUGGAUUUGGUUUAUACUAGUAGUCAAGCUAGUUUUAGGUGAUUUGAGUAUGUACUGUGCAAAGUAUGGUACAGUUUUUUUUUUAAAAAUAUUUUUUAGAAGAAAUUAUGUUUUUAUUUCAACUAUUUGGCAAAUUUACAUCAUCUAUUGUUUUGGACUCUAGAACAGAUCUCAAAUUACAAUCAUUUUGAAACUCUACAACUGUUGUUGUAAACUAAUAUCCUAUUACAGAGAAAAAGUUGCUACAAUUGUGGAUACUCGCACAAAGGAUAGCUGUUAAUGUUUUGUAACAUGGGCGACCAUUUAGAUAGCUUUACGCUAGUGAAGUGCACUUGAAGUGUAAUCUCCUUUGCUCGAUCUUUGGCAUCUCUGCUUGAUUGUUGAAACCUUCUGUUGUUCCUUUCCAUCCAGAUGUUGUAAACUACUGCUGCAAAUACCACACCUAGGAUGAUUUUUUUGGGAUUUCUGCUGUUAACAUUAGCAGUUAACCAUUGGACUUCUGUUUCACAUGUGCCUGUCGUUCUUUGAUACUUCAACCAUUGUAACAUACCUUGCCACAGUGUUUUGGAG